AUGGAUAACCUCAAAACAAUUGAACGGCAUUCAUGUCAACUAGUGUAUAAAAUAUCAUGUGUUUUUAAUUUUUAUUUACUUUAAACUGCUAAAAAAGUGACCCCCCUAAUUAAUUAACACUUGAGACCAGUCAUUCAAAGCUUAAUAAACAUAUUUUUGUUUCUCGACGGCUGUUCUGUUUCUUGCAUAUGUGAGAAGGUGAAUCAUUACAAUUUACUUAUUCUGGUGAACUCAGUUCAGUUACGAGACAAUUGUAAGAUAAGUGAUUAUGUCGUGCGAGCGACGAUAUGAGUUAAUAUCUGUGGUCCUAAUUUUGCUGGUGCUAUUGGACCUAUAUAAUUGUUUAAAAUAAAAAUAAUAUAUAUUAAAUACCGCACUUUAUGUGCAUUGAAAUAAAUCACUUCGAUGUCGAGCAAUGAAAUGAUUUAUUUUAAUUAAAUCAUGUAUUUUAAAAAUAUAAAGAUGUUUUUAACCAACGAAGCUUGUUGGAAAAAACAUUCCAAGAUAUUCAUCUUCUACACUAAGUAUUAAAUAAAACCCAAAAUUGUUUAGACUAAUUAUACAGGAGCUUGCCAUAAUAAUACCCAAAAAUAAAAUAGAUCUUUCUAUGAAAGUUCAUACCUUUCUCAUGAUAAAUAUAGUUCUGGUGUAAAUGUAUAUUAUUUACGUGUUAUUCUUGGUUGUAUAUUCAACCCUGUAUUCAAAAAAAGGGUUAGCACAGUAUGGGUUACUUAAAGUCGCGCGUUUGGGCGCGAGACUUCCCACUGUGACGCACCCCUGAUCUGUCGAUGUUCCCAAUGUUCCUCAAGGUAUCUUUGUAAUCCUGCUGUGCUAGAAAAUUUACUGCUACUCUCUAUACCAAUCCAAACACAUUUUCUCCAAAUCGGAGUGUGUAGAUGAGAGCCACGCGCUCUGCCUAGACAAGGCAUUUCUAGAAGUAUUUUCAUCUUUAACAGAUUGUCUGCUGAAAGGAAUAGAAAGCAGCAAAGAGAAAAGACCUUUUGACUUUGAGGAGAUCAGAAAUAAUUGAAUGCAGUGAUUUGAAGUUUAAAUUAAAAAUAAUGUAGGAUUAUUUGAUCAUGUGUAUGAAGUGAGGAUGGAACAGAAAUAAAUAGAAAUUGACGGUAGAAUAGCAGACGUAGAAAAUCUUGAAUAAAAAGGCCACGCGCCCUCUCGCCGCUGGUGAUUUUGUUUCUAGGAUUGUUCUUUCUUUUUUGGUCGAUAAUAAUAUUUAUUAAUGACUGGAGAUGUUCCUGGGAGACUAGCACUCAACA
Long non-coding RNA from Chelonus insularis, 1274 nucleotides. RefSeq lists it as uncharacterized. The record is from RefSeq and is a predicted model, not a curated record. The transcript has 3 exons. Lineage: Eukaryota; Metazoa; Arthropoda; Insecta; Hymenoptera; Braconidae.